Molecule: long non-coding RNA, 19014 nt
Organism: Bombus huntii
Lineage: Eukaryota; Metazoa; Arthropoda; Insecta; Hymenoptera; Apidae
Exons: 3
Source: RefSeq, a predicted model, not a curated record
UUUCAAUAAUCCCAUUUAAAUUCAAUGCAAUACACAUUUUGUUAUAAAAAUUUUCUAACUUGUAUGUAUAUCGCUAUGAGUACCCUACUAAAUUAAGCUCCAUCGUAACUUACGAUCAUUAAUGUCGUUAUUACAUAGUUCGUAAUAUUAAUAACUCGAUAUAUCAGCUACGAAGAGCAUCAAUCCUAAUGUAGUAGGAUGAGCAAACCGUGAAGAGUUACUUCUGGUUCGUUUAUGGGCUGCAAUAACAUCUUUGGAAUUGGUUUCGAACACCGUUAGUAAUAAAUUUAUUCUAUCAAAUGGAUCUACAUGACUGAUGAACAAAGAGAUAUCUAGCUGAGCAUUUUUACUCCUUUCUCUUUUCUUCAAAUAAAUAUAUUUGUUUCUUCUAAAUUUCGAUAGUUUAACUUUCGACGGUGACGGAUUUAUCAUGAAGUACAAAAGUGAAGUAAAGAUUCUUACUAAAAAGUAAAAAAAAAAGGGAAUUUGGAAUGAGGCAAAUAGAAAAAAUAAUUAUCUUUUGGUAUUUAUUGAAUAUGUUUUUUUUGCUUAUAAACAUGUGAUCAUAGACUUCUUUCUUGUUAUUGUACCGGCGAAUUGUUCGAUAUCUCAGUUGAGGUUAUACAUGACAAGUGAGGUUAUGGUAUAAACGACACGCGCGCGCCAUGCGGCACAUAUGUAGUCGAAUGUUGGCAGCACUGUAAGCAGAAUAUAAUAAAUGUCUUUUAGAAGCGUACAAGCGCCACAGUGAUUUUUCCAUCGCUUUUAAGCGUUAGAUGUCUUUAUUUUUCUUUUUCUAAAAUGCAAUAAAGUAUAAUUCUCCUACGUUGCUACAUUUUUAAUUAUAAUCUCGAUGAAUCGCAGUCACAUGACAAUAUAUAUAUAGAACAUGUUUUCCAAAUAUUUCAAGAUAAAGUAGACCGAUCAAAUUUGUUUAUCUGUUACUCAUAUUAGAUUUCCUAUUUUGUGUUUGAUGCCUCACUGGCGUCAGUUCUAAUCGUUAAUUACCCGUCCGUUGAUUUAAACGACUCUUGCUAAUUUACUCUGCCUUGAGAAUUCGUUUGCCUUGUGCACAAGUCAACGUUUAUUUUUAAAAUGUCUAUAACGUCUUAUUACCGAUAAAACGAAUAUCUUCGUUUAAAAACUGUCGGAAAAUACGUACAAUGAUUCAUGAGUACAGUUGGCAAUCUAACCGUGUAAUAAUGGCACGUAGCAAACAUUCAAGUCAAUCUAUUUUAUAAUAUUUUCCAUAAUCUUUUCUUAGCCAUCAUUAGUAAUUCGAUUCAUGAAACUAUCAUAUUUCAUUUUACAUUUUAGAAUUUUAUGUAGGCGCCACGAAAGUGGAAGUUCGUUUCACUUAAACGUAGCAGUGAGUUCUGACCUAAUUUAUACUCUUGCAUAAUUGAUACGCGAUCGUGAUGUCAGAUGCCGGCAAGGGAACAUACAUAAAUCGAUAUUCAAAGGAGAAUCAAUGAAAAAAAAAGACAGCUAUAUACAGAAAGGCAAUGCAUGAUUUCCACCGAAGAUUGGUGAAAUCACAUAUAUCGAGAGACGACGAAACGACGUUUGAUCGCAGCCGCGCUUUAUUGAAAAUUUUUAACGAGAAAAUAGCUGCCGCGGUAUAAAUUACUGAGUUCUAUUAGCGUGUCUACUCGAGAGAGAGAGAGGGAGAGGGAGAGGGAGAGGGAGAGAGAGAGAGAGAGAGAGAGAGAGAGAGAGAGAGAGAGAGAGAGAGAGAGAGAGAGAGAGAGAGAGAGAGAGAGAGAGAGAGAGAGAGAUGAAAGUUCUGCAGCAUGUUAGAUGGAGAUUUGAUUCAUCGGAGCGAUAGAAAAGGAGAACAAGAGGAAGAGCGCAAAGGACUACUGCCUUUCCUCGGUGUCCUCUUUUUCUUCUCAUCCGUCAACCCCACUCUCUGGCCAUUUCUCAGUUCCUAUUUCUUUUUGCUCGUAAGGUAUUGAUUUACCUAGGUGGUGAACUUUAAACUCGCAUCACCACUCGUUCCCUCAUUCAUCUUGCGGCCUUUGAUGGUAAUGCAAGGAAAAUUGCGCUCGUCGCGACAAAUUAGGUAAUGAAUCUUCUCUAUGAGCUGCCAUUUUCUAUUUUUGCCACUGAAAGGACAAAAAUUAUCUUGUGAUCCGUGAAUGGGAUUAAAAUGUGCAAAACGGUAAAUUCGUAUGUCCUCGCGAAGCAUUUUACACGUGUGUCUGCAUUUGUACGUGUCUUACGUUGGAUUUGAAUUAUAGGUUAGGUCAGAAUUCGUAGCUCAGGAAUCUGUAAGGUAUAUCGGAUAGACAAUUCAAACGAUUAACAAUCAUAUAUAAUCGAUAACGUGCAAAUGUAUAUAUCUAUAGCUUUUCAAAUCGUAGAUUGCGUUAUCGGCUAAGAUAAUUAACGUAGAAGGCCGUGACGUUAAACCAAUGUCGCUAUUUGCUUGUUAAAGCGAGCUUCCGUGAUGUGAUACUCUACAACUGUUUAUUAUAAUGCGAAAUCUACGAUCUUUGAAACGAAUCAAUAGCAACGUGUUUUAUCAAUGUGUAGAUAAAACGAUCGAUUUGCAGAUACUUGAUUAUAUCUUUAAUCUUUUUAUUCGCUAAAAUAAUAACUAUUCGCCGAUAUACAAUCCAAUAUUCCUUCAUCAUAUCGUAUCGUAUUGUAUUUCUCUCAAUUAUAUUGUUUUCUUUUGAAUUAGCCAUGCACUGGUGCAACAAAUCAAUCAGAAAGUUCCCAUUGAGCGUAAAAAACCAUUUAGCUUGCACUUUAUAUUCUAUCAGCCGCCGAUCGCUUCACGCUCGAACCUCGCGUCAAGAAGAUCUCGCCAAGUAAUUGAAAAUGAUCCGGAUCAUCUGGAGGCGGAAUGAAUUAACGCGAGCUGCUAGUCGACUCGAUGGAAAAACGUGGAUAGUGGAUGGUGGAUGGUAAAAAGCAGUGGAGAAAAAGGGAAAGAACAAAAGGGAGGAUGAAAGGGAAGAAAAGAAAGAGCGGAGGAUAAAAGGAGUGAAAGGAACGGGAGUAAAAUCUUAGCGGCUGAUAAAGUUGAAAGGAUGCUCGAAGGUGAAUGCAAGGAAUUACAAGACCGUACGUUCUUGCAUAAAAGUCGUGUGUGCACUGUGCACGCACGAUCGCGAGUAUGACGCGCGUCGGCCGAGUAGCAAGUCAUUAAAACGUUCUCCUGGCGAAGAUCGUUUUAAUCGGUAAUCGGGGAACAGCCGGCGUGACGUCUCCGCUACAUCAGCUUUUAUUUAAUAACGUUACUCUCUUCAAUUACGCUGGCCUGUACUGAUCGUCUCGAUUUUACCAGUUUAUGUAAUUGCACCGUACGAUACGCGUACGAAGCAAAGAGCACGAAGACGUAAAGUACGUGAGCGCACGAUGGAUGAAUGAAAUUUCGAGGCAAUGAUUUUUGGCCGCGAUCAUGAACGUUAGUAUAUCGCUAAAGUGGUCGGUAAAAAUAGCCGAUAGGUGGCUCCCGGCGUACCACGAUUCGCGAGCUUCGUUCGAAUAUCACCAGACGCUAUAAUCGAUCGCAAUGGGAAACUCGUUUUUCGCGUUUCCCAGUGAAGAAGAAAAAACAGUGCAUACAUAAGCCGUUGAGAAGUCACACGGAUCAAUCUCGAAAGUUGGAAAGUACAGAGAAGCGAUAAAGUUACAAACACUGUCUUCCAGAUUUACUUUAGAAACUUACCGUUCUUUCGAAUUCUAUUUAUUUCUACUUUUAAUUAUUUCUUGCAAUAAGCAAACUUAUGGGAGCUGGAGAAAUCGAUAAAAAGCGAAGUUGGUCAGUUUGACCGACCGAGAAGCUCGUACACAGCGAGGUAAAUGGAAUAUUCGCAAAGAGUUUGAGUCGAUGGUGUUCCGUACGAAAUAUCUACAUAUUUUAAAGGAAAUUCUCUGCCGAAUCGAUGGUGAUAAUUGCAUAGCUGCAUUUUACUCGGGACACCGAAGCGCACCGAGUCGAAACGACGAUUUCGUAAUUCACGGACGCAGUCCGUGCGUAACAGAUGGCCUUUAUCACGGUGGAUAAAAAGAGACACAUGAUGCGAUCUAUCGAUAAAGAUGUAGGUGUCAUCUGGCGACGAAUUUAGUUGGGUUACCGAUCGAAAGUAUAUAGAGUAUACCAUCGGACUGGGAACGCGGAUACGCGUGAAGUGCGCCACCAUCAAUUGCGAUCUACUUAUUGCGAACGCGUCGUGUGUAAAGUAUAGGUGAAAUCGCCAGCUGAAUAUUCCAGCUAUGCGACCUUGCCAAUGCGUUUAAGCGACGCGGAUGGUAAUCGCGCGAGCGCGACCGAUGUUUUCGGUAUGGCGAAAAACGACCACGAAAACAUCGAGGGAGAAUUAGAUUGGGGCAAAGGCGAUCCACUGAUUCGAGCUUCGAUCGCGUUGUGAAUCGACCUUCUAUUGAUCAAAUUUGAAAACACCUUUAGAUACAAACGCGUGACACGACUGUCCACUAAAACUGUCUUUCUUUCCCUCUUGUUUGUCGCUAUUUCCACCAGCGAUUGAGAUUUCGACGUCGACGUGUUUCGAUGGUAAAAAAGUGCCAGAAGAGAAAAGUAAGAGAGGAGGAGGAGGAGGAGGAGAGGAAGGAUGGGAACUCGAUGGACAAAGUUUGUUUGGUUUAUUUGCAGAUCGGUGAACGAGUCACGAAGCAAUAAUCGUUGUUUUCUUUAUGCAAUCGGAUAGCCUCGAUAAUUUCGUAUAUUUCGAUACGCGGCCACGGCACGAGGAGAGCCUCGAUUAUUUCGCUUCAUUUAUUUUCGGUCUGCCGGCAAACAUCGUCCGUUCCACUGGCAGGCAUUCUCGACGUAAUUAAAAACAGGAAACUUUUCUAGAGCACGAUGAAACACGUCGACUGUCGCGGCUAUUGGCAGCACCGGCGAAAAUAAUCGGAAGCGCCUCUCCGUUCUAGCUUUGUCGUUCGUCCAACUUCAAUCACGAUUAAUUGGUUUUGCUUUAUCGAUGCGUCGCCCGUACAUAAUAAUUAUCCUCGGGGAAUGGACCACGUUGUCGUGGGCCUAAGUAACUUUGCUUUCUACCAGACUACGUCGCGUGGCCUCGAUGAAUUUAUCGAAUUAUGCGAUUCUCCCUCUCCUUCUGCCGCUUUAUUUCUCUUGUCCUCUCUGUCUUACACACGCAAACGCGUCGGUGUAGCACGCGAAAGGCACACGCUUGUAACGUAAUACAAAGGAGAAGAGGAGGACGUCCGGUUGUUGCCAAAAGGUAGCACGCGCCAGGAGCGGAAGAUGAAGGAAGGAAAUCAUCGUCGAGAUCGUCGAACGUCAUUCGCGAAUGACGACACCCGUGCCUCUUCUCUCGGACAUUCGGAGAAUUGACACUGUGCCCGGAAUCGGCGGCUUGCGACUCGUCCAAAACAUAAUUAGGAUUUCGCUAGCGCGCCACGACGAUGUCUGUGGCACGCGGUGCGCCGUGUCGCAUGUCGGAAGCGCGAUCUUAUUAUCCGUUAUUAGCGGAGAUCGAGUUUGCAUCACGAGAAUCAGGGUUGCUGGCUACGUGUUGCGAUGAAACGCAACGGAAACGUCCAGCGCCGUCACGUUUUUCAGCGGCCGCCUUUUCAUUUUCGUUGUCAUCGUUGACGUAAGAACAGAACUUUUAUUCUGACGUAAUGCGACCGUUACGUUUAUUCGCGCGGAUAAUAGGAUGCACGACGAAUGACGAACGGGAAGACGUUAGUGAAAACGACGAAGAAGAUCAGGAGUAUGAAAGAGGCUUGUAGCGGAAAACGAGCGAAGCAGAAAAUAGAAAAAUGUAUAUGCUCGAUGUCAGAAAGCUGCAAAGUUAGAAUUAUGCGUGGUCGGCGACGAAUCACGUACACGAUCAUCUACCGAUCUAGCGUGUACGUAUUUAUAAUUUCAUUCAUAACACGAGGUGCACUUUCACGUACUCUGCCGACCGUAGUCGUAACGUUCGUGGCCUUGUAGCAUGAAUGUUGCUUUUACGACUACAUUCGCCCACCGCAUGAUUCUUCGACGCAACGAAAGAACGUCGAAACGAGUAUCGCAGCGAUCUGGCUACGCUUUAUUCCUCCUUACCUCGUGAAAAAUUACAGUCAGACUACGACGCUCCAAUUAUCAAUUGACGAAACCAAAAACGAUCGUUGAAAUACGAAUGCCGAACUACGUGGAUUCGACGCCGAAUAUACACUGCGUGUCACAUGGACAAAGAAAACCCGAGGAAAGGAGAACGAAGCGGUGCCGGAAUCGUGUCACGUACAUCUGGUUCUUUCUCCGCUACCACCUCAACCGUGGCUUGCUCGAAGUUCACCAGCUACAAGAACAAAGACCAUCGUAGGUCACGGAACGAAGAAGAUAGAAUAGAAGGCUGAAGGAAUACCGGAAACGAUCCACCUGCUCGAUUCUCGCGUUCCUCCCUUUAACGAUUGUCGCUGAACGAUCGAUGGUGUUACGAACCGGAAGCGAAUGUUUUCAAACAAGGGGAAACGCGAAUUUACCUAACUCGAAUGAACGCGGGCUAAACGAUCUCGGAUUACGAGGGUUUGUUUAAGGGCCAUUUAAUAUUGCUCGCUUGAACGCACCAUCUGGAGAAACUUUCACGAGCACGUUCAAGCUAUUAUAAUUCCGUUGGCCAAUUCACGGACGUGACACAGAAAAUACAGGUCGAAACAGUUGUACAAAAUAACGGAUGUGACUGGAAGCACGGUAACGAUAUUUUAUCUUUUAAUACCAAGUGGUUAGCGGUGUAUUUGACGUGGCAAAAACUAUGUCUGCGGGAGCACGAACACUUCGUUUCGCGACGAGGUACACGGUAAAGGGGUGCAGCAUGGCGAAGUACAAACGUUCUCGGAUCGGAUAUCGAGGAGAAGCGGCAAAGUGUCGCGAACAGCGACGAUCGAGAGGAAGGUGGGCGCGAAAAACAGAAGGCAAUCUCGUGGCGUCGUUUUAAUAUUCUCGAAGAGCGAAGAAGAAAGGGGAAAUGGACGAAGAGGUGGCGUGAAAUCAGAGGACGGAUGAUCGCAGGUCUGAAAUCGAGGACGAAGCAAGAGGCAAACGAGUAAUUCGUGGUUUAGUUAGGGUUUCGGGGAUGGGGGUGGAAGGGGAGCUCGAACGCUUCGAAUAAAGGAAGAAGACCGGAGCAAGAAGGACAAAAAGAGAUGGCCGGAAAAGAGAGGGUAGAGCGUUCGUGUGCAUACUAGGAAGGAAGGAAGAGAGAGGGUGGUACUGGUAGAGAAGAGAAGGUAAAGGAGAGCGUUCGAGGCAGCCGGUCGCCGGCAUUCCGGAUCAAUACUCCCACCGCCGUCGCUUCUCUGGGGGUUCGUUGGGUGGCCCGGCUCUUUCUCCUUCUCUCCCUUUACCUUUCACCCUCGACCCUCUUCUUCCAUGUCGCCCUCUCAUCCUCCCGUUUUCCGCUUCUACUUCCAGCGAACGCGUACAGGUAUCGGUGAAUCUGCUUCGAUUCUCUAUCUUCCCCCCCCCCCCCCUCUCUUUACCAUCUUUCCGGCAUCUUUAUAUCUGAUUUUUCUCGCGUCACCUGCUGAUCAAUUUAUACCGUACAUCCUAUACACGUUGCAUCGUGUUUUCCUUCAAUUUCCUCCUCCACUGAUUUCCUGACAAAUAUUGGAAACGAUACAGGGUGGUACUACAGAAGGAACACGAGUGGAACAGGAAUCUGAGAAAACUGUGAAAAGCAAGGAAACCGACUCUCGUGUAAAUCUGAAAUUUUGCACGUUGCUCUUGCAUCAACUUGUACUUGCACCUCGGUCCAGAGACAGAGAUGAUUCACGCGUGUUCGCGGUAGAUAAUGUCUCACAAUCGGCUCUGUGUCUGCUAAUCGUUGGGAAUUAACAGGGAAUUCGAUCCUUCGACGGCACUGUCACGAGGAGAAUCGCUGCGCAAAGUGACUCCGGUACGCGAGAAUGCGCCGACCGGACUCCACGCGUGCCGUUACGUAAUUCUCAUUAGCAGAACGAGACGACGUAACGCGAGACCGUAUCUGAGAUCGCGCAGGAAGGUCGACGUUCCGAUGAUGUCACCGAGGUGCCCUGCGCUCGGUACGCCACACGCUCCACGAUCGAUUCCGCGAUUCAACCCUCCCGCCAGGAUCUGGCUUUGCCGGCACUUUAUUGCUUCGGCACAGUUAACUCCUGUCUCGUUUACGCGAUACGUGACCUCCCGUAUCGCGGGCCGAUGCCAAGCAAACAAUUUUUCCAGCCGGUUUUGCGAGUCUCUCUGUUUGGUGAACCGUUCCAGGGCCAAUAGGAUUUAGGUGGAUUUUAUCGGCGAUCGCCGAUCUCGCUGGAUAUCGAGUCUCUAACUACCCUCAGCAACUUUUUCCCCCCCGGGAAAUUGUCUUUAUCGCUUGUAAAUUCUAUUCGAUCUCGGUAUAUGGAGGUCAGAGAUCGCCAGCCUGUUUCCAAUCUAGCCAGGCUCCAAUAAUAUCGGAAGAAGAGAGAGCGCGAUUAGUCGCAAAUAAGCUUCGAUAUAUCCUGUUACGUUCAUCCGUGUUAUCGUCAAGCUCAUUAACUUCAGGCUUUUCAUUCGGUUCGUAAACCACGUGAGAGAUAAACUGUGAAACAAAGUGGUUUAUAACGAUGGAAAAGUCGAGACUGAGAGAAAGAACGAGAGUAAUUCUGCAUAAAGGAUGAAGUUUAAAAAGCGGUCGGUUCAACUGGGAGAAGUUGAAGCAAGCGGGCAACGUGGUUGAAAGAGGGUGACGCGUCAAAACAUGAAACGCUUUCGCGAGACACCGUCUGUGGUUCCCUUUUUCUCGAAGAUGGCCGCGACGCGAGCAGAAUCCCUGACCUUCUUUAAUUAGGAUAGCAACGACAAAGUUAACGGGCGAGAAUUAAUGAGGCCUGCGACCACGACGAACUCCGAGAAACGGGAUCGAGGAACGUGGCGCGCAACGAGACCGUGUCUCGGAUCACUCUAUUAAAAUUCUCUUCUAUCAACGCUUCUCCUUCUGCUGCUCCCUCCUUCGCUCUCUUUUUCCUCGAAGAAAAUUAACCAUCGUCUAUGACAUCGUAAAACGUGGCACGUAAUUUGUCGGUCGUAACGAUCGAAAUGUCUCGUUGUCAUUCGAUAUCGAAUACUAUCUAUGUACUUUCGAUAAUUGUUCGUCAUUACGAUGAUAUCAUAACGAAGGAACGUCGUCACCUCGUUUCCCGUUAACGAGCGUCGUUUUUUCGCUCGUUCGACCGUCAUACAUAUUAAUUUCGUUGGUGGACUAAAAGUUCCCAGAAUAUCGUUUAAUUAGCACGAAGAGCUUCGCACUUAUUUUUAACAAAAUUGAUAAAAGUAAUCGUUCCGCAUCGAGUUUCAUUGAAAUUCCUGGAUGAUUAAGGGAGGCGACUUUGCUCGAGCGACCCUUGUGCACCGACCCGUUUACCCGGGACCGAGGCACUCGAAAUUACCAUGUUGAUUCAACGAUGGAACGUGCCUGGCAUAAGACACUUUCGGAUGAUACACCGAUUUACAGCGAAUAAAACUUUAUCGGUCAGUGUUGCGCGGCGAGAGAAAUUGCGAGAGAGUCAGGGCAGGAUCGAUCGAUGUUUUCUCCACGCAACUUAUUUUUACUCGAAAGAGAGUUUACUUUUUCACACUUUGCUUUCGUCCACCUUCUGCUCUCGUAUUCCUCUCGUAGAGGUAAUAAUAUCGACGAGAAUCAAGGUGAUCGUUUUAAGCGGCUCGAUCCGUGUAUUUCUGUAUCCCUCGUCGGUGUUAUUCUUCGAAGAACGGUCAACCGCGAUAAUCGUAUUUGCUGCAUAAUCGUAAAGGUGUAACGUCCUCUGUCCGGAUCGUGGCGAGUCGAAGGGAACUUCCCCACUGAAAGGACGUCCCUUUUGCUUUCGUAACGCGCGCGUCACUGUUAAGACGUUGCUCUCUUUCUCGUUGGUUACGUAAUCCUUCGAACACGCCAAAACAUUACGAAACGGACACAGAAUGAAAGUCCUCGAAAUCUCUGUUUGCUUUCUUAUUCGAAAAUAUUUUCGACUAUCCUGAAAGUAAAUCUUACUUUCGCAGUGAAAUUUGGUUUCGUAGUGUGAGAUACAAGUUACGGUUUAACAGAACCUGCCUAUUUGCUAACGUCUCGCGUUUUACUCUGUCGCGAACAUGACAAUUUGCGAUUCUAUGCUGGAACCAUUGACCUCUCACCACAUACAGUGCAGCAUUCGUAGAGACUUCCCGAGAAAGGUACGAAGAGACUAAUUAGCGUGCGCCGCAACAUUAGGGACUUUAGGACUCGACACUCUGAACGAUUUAACUGAUUUACUAUGGUACGCGACACCGAUACAGCUAAUUAAAAUUUCCUCGUCUGGUAUCCUUCGAAACAAACAUUCGCGUUCGUGUAGAUGCCGAGUAGAUAGCAGUUUAACUACGGUAAUUGAAUUAGCGAUGGUAUCGCGUAAUCAGCGAGUAUCAGCCUUUUAUCGUGCUAGCCACAGCGAAAUAGCUUAUUUCCUGUUGGAGAUUUUCCGAUUUCUCGCUCAGAUAAUAAAACAACCAAUGUCUUGUUAUCGACACGUUAUCGCUUCUUACGAUUGGCAACAGUCCCGUUUAUCGAGGCAUCCAUAAGAUUUUUUAUUAUUUUCGGCCCUCUGGAUAUUCGAUCUAAAAAACAGUUUGUAACUUUGAAAUGUUUGCGUGUGGUCUCUUUGUGCCGAUGUCCAUUAAGAGAAAGGGUAUUAAAGUCAACGUUAAAAUCUGAAGCUCGAGUAUCUGAUCGAUUUGCUAAUUGGAUCAUUAAACGUAGUAAACUGUCGCGUUAAACUCGGUCGAAGCUACGUUUUCUCCAUUGCAUUUUUACCAUCGCGAUGGAGAAACGGACCCUUGACCGCGUGGUUGGUCCCAUCGACUCUUCUUUCCGAGUAGAGCGUGUUACGCGGCCGAUAGAUUUGGAUGGAAUCCAAUCUUUGAUUAAGGAAAAGAGUCUCGAUCCUCUGUGUGAAUAGUUGUGUUUCACAGAUGGACUGCUUCCAACGCCAAGGAUGCUACAAUGGAUCGUGAUUACGGAAGAAGCGGACCAUCGGAUGCACAAUUCGAUUUCACGUAGGAAAUUGCACGUGUGAGAUGCAUGCUCGCGAUACACAGACGUUCCACUUUUAAUUCGAUCGAUAAUAAAAAAAGAAAAACGAGGAAAAUAUGUAUCGAGUUAGGCCCUCGAGUUGGAUUCGCUUUAAUCAGCGUCGAUCGUCGACAAACAUCUUGAAAACGGUCGGCGUGUUUGAUGUCUGCAACGAUCGACAUCUCGGCACACAAUUGUAUUCCCCUGUAAUGUAUUCAAUGAACUCGUUUCGUGUUCCAAUUACUCACCACCGUCGUACCGCCGUAUCUACAUUUGCACAGCUUUGGUCAACCUCUUGUGUUCGCUCUAAUACCAAUUAAAUCCAUUGCCAAUUUUUUCGAUGUAAAACUCGGUUUAAAGGUAUCCAGGCUACGGAAAAAAGUGCGUAGAACUUUCUGAAACCUUCAGCAGUUCGAGAAUGCAAGUUUCGUGCAAGGACACCACGAAGAAACACCUCGCCGCCAGGCAUCAAGCGCCCCCUAACCAGAGGAAGGAAUUUACGAGCUGGAGGAAUGUAAAUCGAUCUUUCCGAUGAUCUUUCCGUCUACUAUUCCGCUUACUUUAAUUCGGUUUCAGAUGCGGAUCGGUUCAUCACUGCGGAUGAAGCCGUGUUUAAUCCUCGAAUAGACAAAGGCUCGAUAAAUCGUUCGAGGCUCGCGGUGAUUUAUUUCUCAAUUUUGCGAUCGGUGGCGCGCGUUCAGCGGUAAUUUACGACGACUGGAAAAAGGAAAGCGGCGUUUACCGGGCGAUUCGUACUCGAGGAUACUUAACGAGACUCGAUGAUUUUCCGCCGUGAAUCACGCGUGUCGUUAAUCGCGCCAAGGAACAUAAUUAGCAACCCACAUCCCGCCUUUGUUCGACGCGAUCGGCGAACAGAUGCUUAAUUGCUUUUCUCUUCUUUGCGCUCUUAAACUACGCCGUGCUCUUUCGAGGAACGUUAUUUUUUAAUCGUGCGAGGCGUACUGAGAGAAACAAAAGCGACGAAAUGUAAAACUCGAGGCAAUCGUGAUGCCGAGACAGCGAUAAAUUCGCCUACCAAACAAAACACUUAAUUCCCGAUUGCAAAUGGGCAAGGCUCGUUACGUAAUUGGCAAGAUGACGAUAAUUUCAUAAAAGAUAAACAAAAUCAACGGUUGAACGCUUGGGAGCAAACAGGGAAUUCAACUUGUUGAUGAUACAGGCCACCGUGUUCCGAGGCAAACACUCGUGAAAGAGGCGGAGGGCAAAAAUUGAAGGUAAAGUGUACGCGGUUUCCAACCGUUCCAACCACUUGGGGAUUAAAUCGAGUUCUACGUCGUGGAUAUUCUCUCACCCUGUCCUCCGACACGAUAUUUUUGCUGACGAUUGCGUACAAACACGAACACGGAUUCUGCCGAUGCUGCGGCGCGCUGCUGCUCUUGCAAUUGCAGCCGCAUACUCCAACUCGACCAACAACUGUUGGAUAUCGGCUUGACCUCGACAAUGACUCACGGGUCAUGGUACUGACCGUUUCUCUUUCACCUAGGACUUUCUUUCCGCUUCUUCUGCAUAACGAACGAUACUUAUGCACGUCUCAGCCCCACGAAACUCUUCUAUCGAUCACGGCUACUCGACGUUGCAAUCCAAGUAUCCGUUGCAUGUACGUACACGCUUCUAUACGUAUCCUAGGCCUUAGAGUCAUUGACUCCGUGAUAAUUUUCAAUGACCUUUAUCUAUUUUUAUGGCGCGGAGUUCUAUGGUUUACGGACGAUGAGUGUUCCGACGAACGAAACGUCUGAAAACUGAAAUGCGUAUAUUCGAUUGCUUUCAAGUAUAAACAUCGUCGCAAUACACAUCCGCUAUAACCAUAACUUAACGCGCAUCCUAUUUCUAUUCCAUCCAAUGGUAGGAGUUCUUAGGAACGCGUUGGAUUCGAGAAGCUUUUAGGCUUGAUCAAUCGCUGCGAGUAGACGAAUAAAAAUACCGAAAGAGUAAACUUGAGCGCCAUGGCCACGAGCAACGAUUGUUCGUGAAUCAUUGUACGUGUUUGCUUUUCUAACUAUAAAUACGGAUACAUGGAUCGUGACCUCGUUCUUUCCUUAAUUCACACACUCGACCGACGCUCGGUCUCUCGCGACGCGUCAAUGGUAUCAAUCAACCGAAGAUUCUGCAUUUCCGCAGAAAGCAUUUGUGUACGAAAGGUUAUAAAUAACAACGAUAAACAGUGAUUAACGUCACGCGAAAUGCUCUUGAAAUGAACAAAGUGAGACGAUCUAUAGAAGAAAGGUACUAAGCCCACGACUUCUCGUUCUCUCAAUAUCAAGUCAGCUCAUCUCGAAGAAUUCCCUUUAACCGAACAGUUCAUCAAAAAGAAUUUUUGUGUAGAUACAAUCUGUGUUGUAAAGACGUUUUGAAAUUUCAUUAGCAUCACCACACAACCAUCACGAUUAUAUCGAUAAAGUUCGAAACCAGUCUGGAAAUGUAUACACGAGUUGUAAGACGUUUACCGCGAAUAUAUAUUCGAUCGAAAAUUAGAAUGAAUAGCCAUCUAUACGAUAAACGUUAAAGACGGCACCACUGAAUAUCGAGGUGAGAUAUAUACUCGCAGCAAAUAUCUCGUACAUCAUCUACGUGCAUUUUCAGAUUCCUUCGAAACCUUACGAGUACAAUCAAGAUCAUACAAUGUUUAAUAUAACACAUACAGUACGUAUAGUACAUACGCAAGAGGUUCGUGUAAGUUUGCAAAUAUUUUCGUGAGUCACAGUAUAUGUUCGAGGCAAUUAUUCAUAGUAUACGCCAACGUUUUACUGAAAACGAGCGAGAUAUUUUCAAUAAAUGUCUUGCAACUUCCGUAAACCUUUCUAAAUUCGUUUCCAACUUUACCGCUAUAAUCGCGAUAGACGCGUUUCGUUACGUUACCAAUGGAAUUACAAAACGUUUCCUAUAAUACCGCAUUACGGUAUCUACAAGCGUUCCAAUACCGAGCUACUUCUAUAUUACGUCUGUUUUCAAUAAAUUUCCAUUUAAAAAAGAACAAAUAAAUAUGCGUAUAUAUGUUGCACUGGAAUCGCUAAAUCGAAAUAGCCGACACACAACAAACUCUGUCCCCUCGCAGGUACAAAAACGUGCAUAGAAUGUCGAACGAAUCGAGACCAAUUAGCGGAAUGGCAAAGAAUGUUAAGCGCCGCGACACCAUUCGUCGCCUCUCUAUUCAUGUGUUCUCCCCGUCCAUGCACUCGCCGCUUUUCGCGCGAUAUUCCCUCUCCCACGUCACCGUUAUUAGCGGCAGCCUGUUUUCUCCCUUUUAACGACUCCCGUCAAUGUCAAUGCCAGAAACACAUACCACGAGAUUCUCUCUUCGAGUUUGUUUACGAUCAGAACGAGAGAGAGAGAGAGAGAGAGAAGUGGACAAAGGAUGAAGAAGAUGGAUACAUAUGCCACUCUAUUAACAUAAUUAUUGCGAAAACCUUGGAGAUACAUACUAUCCUGGCGUAAACUCGACGUAAAUCGAGGCGGUUUGCCGACAGCGAGCGUGUCGUGGGCAUCGAUCGAUGAAUGGUGUUCUCGCGACCAUAGUGGCGCUCGCCUCGAAAACCGUACAUUUUUCACCGGAAACGGGUUAACUCUUUGACGGUGCAAUAAGGCGAUGAAUAAUUCAGAGCGAACGAUUUAGAAGAUAAUUUGUCUUAUUAUUCUUAAGGUCUGCUGCGUUUCUCAUAUCAGAUUUGUUCGUCUUGUUAGAAAUACGAAUUUACUUUAGCGUUGAAGCACGUAAAUUUUAAAUAUUUGUUUCAUUUAACUCGUCGACGGUGUAAUUAAACUACGAAGAAUGCGAAACAAUUUAGAAAAUAAUUAUGUAACUCGCUAUUCUUAACUCCGCCGCGGUCCUCGAGUUGUUUAUGUCUUAAUCUUACUUUAGCUUUAACCUUAGUUUCGAUUUUGCUCGAAACGAGAAAUCACGCGUAUAAAUAACAGGCCUUUCGUGUUUUGCUCAAAUUUAGGACAAUUUUCUAGCGAUGAACGUACGGUAGGCUUGAAAAUGGCUCAAAAGAACCAGCGGCGCGUUAAAACGCGCUUUCCACCGAAAUGGAAAUACCGAUCGUAUAAUAAGCAGAUUGAGCGGAUGGCGAGCUUGCUCCAGAUACUCUGCAACGAGGUUUAAAGGAAUUCGGCAUUUAUGAAGAGCAACGCGCGAGGAAGCGGACUCAUCGACGUACGAAACGAGUUCGAAAGGAUUGUAUGAAAUUCAUGGGCGUGUUUUAUGUUCCGAGAUUAAGAGGUGGGGGACAAACGGACGAGAAUUCGAGAACGUUUCGCGUUCGUGGUACAACAGCCUCUUAAUCGAAUAACAGGUGUUCGAAAUGGCCUCACCAGGACUGGUUUACGUCGAUACUUCGUAUCGUCCGAAUCUCGAUGCACGCCAACUCUUGCGCAUCUGUUUGACACGUAAAAAAAAAGAGGGGUUAUAAAUAUAGUGGCUUCGCGUUCAUUCCCGCUCCUAGGAGAAGUUAAAAGUUGCUCGGCGUAUAAUUCACGCGGUAGCUUUAAGUGGUGAUAUUUUAGAAACAGUACCCGGUAUUUAUUACGUUGCCAUUUGGAAUUUUUCGCCUGAGAUAUGUCUAUAAAUACGUAGGCAUUUAUUUUCGAGUUACCAUAUGAUGAUUACAGGGAGAGGAUGUAAUAAUUACAACUUUGCUGACUUCCUGAUUUUUACGUUACUUAGUGGUGAAAAGAGGGCACUUUAAUAUACCGUGGCUAAAAAGACAUAAUUAAGAGGCGCAACCUACCCGGUCCGAAGAUGUGAGCUGUUUAGCGAUGGAUAUGAAGUUAUACGAGAGGAAUUAACGGCAUACGACGAAAUUGGUUCACGGCCACCGAGAACGUGCAAAGUUUAAGGAAGAUCGUUUGAAAUGGACAAACGACUCUAUAUAUAUAUGUAUAUAUAGAUGGCGUAAGGAAGUGGUAAGGAGAACGAACAGCUUGUUUUCUACUCGUCGAUAAAUCUGCGGCUUCUUAUCUGUCAGCAGAAGAUUACAGCGAUCGUCCGGCGAUGUUGUAACAGCUAACAGCCAAUGAUAUAUUGGACGAACGAACAUUGCUAGACAUUUCUUCAAUGACGAGUGUACCAUGUGAUCUAAACAUACGACGACGCGUUCCUCGGACGUCAUCACUUCGACCCGUGAUCCUCGAACACAUUGGUCGCACAGUGUUGUCAAAUUCAACCUCGAAGAACUUACGCGUUAGUAAAUAUUAUUUACGAGCGUAAGUAGUACGUUCGGUUUAAUAAGACAGAGAGAGCUGCUGCACGAGCCGAGCUAUCAUUGUAAAUAAGUUAUACAUAAAUCAAUGAACGAAUCCACUCUCGUCCCGUUGCUUUGUCUCGAAUGGAAUCAAAGGACUCGUAAAGCUGUUUCCUGAUACUCAAAGAAUAUUUAGACACGGCUGACUCGUAAUUAUGAAUCGUAAUAAUGCUGGAUUAAAUAAACAUUUGUUGUACAGAGCCUAGAGAAGUUUUUCUAAAGGUCGUGUACUUUGAUCGAAGGAUGUAGAAGGUUUCAACGAGAUCUUUUAAUCAAUCGAGGCUGAUUUAAUUUAGUCGAGAGUUUCGAGAUUGGAAACACGGUAAAAGUUUCCCUGUCGUUUGUACCUUAACGAUUAAAACUUCAAAAUACUUGGGCUGCUGAGCAACGCAAACUCGUAGGCUGACACACCGGCCGCACACCUACGUAUUUCUAAAUAAGUCUUAUUCGUAGGUUGGCUGCACCGUGGAAGCGAAACUUAUAUCUUCCUCGAUCUAUCCGUCCGCCAAACCAUUCUCGCUCGUAUUAUUAUCUAAACGCGAAUCUUCACCGCCAGCGAAGAAAACAACUAUCGUAGCGUUGCGAACCGUAAGCAUUGUAUAUGAACUGUGUACUAUUUUCGGAAGACUACAUCUACCUACGAAUGAAAAAUAAUCAGUCAUGGUAGCCGCCCAUCGUACUUUUCAUCAUUGAGGAGCAUCUACGGGUAAGCACUCGGCGACACCCCGCAGGAUGCUGCAGCUGAAAAUCCUCUCAAGCACUGCAAUCGCCGGCAGGAGUUCCCCCCGAGUAUGUAACCGGUCCCAAACACAUUUGCCCGCUUUGGUCUUACGCCACAGACUAUACUCUAUGCAGCACAUAAAUCCCGCAUGAAACCGGGCUUACCAUGGCUACGAUCCUAGUGCCAAGGUAUUACGAUUCACCACGUACUACUAGACCGUGCCUACGGUGACACGUAUAUCUUUGAAUUAAUAAACAUCAUUAGUUUGUUUACAAGAUGUAUCAAAGUUAUUGAUGCAGUUAUUGAAUGAAUGGAUAUUGGUUAGGUUCACGUCGAUUCAUCGCAACUAUAUUACAUAUAUCUCGAUUCUUGUUUAACCGAAAAUUACUCUUCCGUGUAACAUGUGGCACCGCGUGUGUCGAUACGUAAACGCACGUAUACACACGAUACUCGAGUGAAAAACACGUGCAUAUAGGUUAUGUACGCGGUACGCGAGAAAGAGACGAUGAGAGAAACCGAGCGUAGAAGUAAAGAGACAGGAACAAGUGUAAAGAGAAGGAGAGAAGCAAAGAAGACAGUAAGCUAGUGAACGAGCAACAGAGAAAGAGAGACUAUAAGGACUACUGCCGUUUUAUUGGCAGAGGUGAACGACACUGCCUACUGCAAGGUGGAUGCCUGUAUUUCGCAUAACCGCUCGUCGUUGGAACGUGCUAUGAGUUUAUGGGUCACUACGUACUGUUUUCAAGCACCUUCUUACGAAAAUAGUAUGAAUUCGUUGAAUCGAAAAUGUGUUGACAUCGGAAAGUCGUCAAUGUUUGCCUUUAUUAUGCUUUGUUCAUUUGUGUCUUGUAGUUAAAAAAAAACAUUAUUUCUGGAUAAUACGAUUUCAUUAUUACAUCAUGUAAUAUAGCUAUUUCUUGUAAAAAUAAGAAUCGAUAAAAUAAGUGUUCUCGCGUUACAAACAUGCUCAAGAUGAUAACAAUUACCAAAUAACUGAUUUACAUUAAAACACGCACACGUUGUAUACACCUCUUAAUUUCAAUGCAUACACAUACCCCUAUGAGAUCACCACAUAAACGUGCAGCGACCUUUUUAAAAAUUAAGAAUUCAUUUCACGUACAACUUCUAACUGCAAAAGAUUGUACAGGUUAUGUAAGAGCAAUUCGAAGAACGAACAACAGAGGGGAACGGCCUGAUCAACAAGAGUGGGUUCUGAAUUUAAGAAUAAUCUGAUUUCGUUAACAUUUGUUUAACGACUUACCAAUCAACAAGAUAAAACAUCAGAGCAAGCAAUAACAAUAUAUGACGUACAGUAACACGUACAUAAUGUGACAGAGAUUCAUAAAAACAGUGAAAAUCGGUCGAGUAACGUGAACUGACCUCUGCUUUGCCGCUCCUCAUCGAUUUUCUGAACAUACGUCAAUACGAAGUACGCCAGACACGUAUUCAUGGAAUUAAAUACUACCUUCUUUUUCAAUAGUCGAUAAAUAGAAAUUUCUGUCAGUUUGUAUAGCAGCCAUGCUAAAUAUGUAAAGAAUGAGAAAUAAGAUAUUUUCGGUACAAACGUGCUUAUCUCUAAAUAUUUUGAGGUUAGCUUCGGUAAUUUUACGUUAUCUUUAUAUCGAGCAAUCUAAUGUAUAAUAUGCGAAAGCAAUGUAAACUGCGCAUUACUUAAUGCUUUAUCUGACAUUAAAUAUUAAAUAUUAAUAUUGUAUUGUCUUAUGUUCGAUGUAUUUCUACAAAAUUUGUAUCAACUAUGAAGAAUUCAUUUGAUACACUCAUUUAAUUAUUUGAUCAUACAAUUAGUGAAGGAUGUGAGAAUUAUAUAAAAAAGAAUUAAAAAAAAGAUUAAAAUGAAAUGUAUCUCAGAAAUGUAUAUGUUGAAAUCAUUAAUGCAUCACCUGGUAACUUUGUUUACCACACCAGGGUAUAAUUCCAUUUCAUCUGUAUAUUAUGAUUGCUCAAUAAAAUUACAAAUAUAUUUCCAAUUGUAUAA